Non-coding RNA from Dipodomys ordii (Ord's kangaroo rat), 74 nucleotides. NCBI's taxonomy places the organism in Eukaryota, Metazoa, Chordata, Mammalia, Rodentia, Heteromyidae. The record is from Rfam.
GGGAAUAUGGCUUAGUGGUAGAGUGCUUGCCUAGCAUGCAUGAAGGAAGCCCUGGGUUCGAUUCCUCAUUACCA